AGAGUUGAGUCCUGGCUCAGGACUGAACGACUGGCGGCGGUGCCUAAUACAUGCAAGUCGUACGAGGGAAGUCCAGCUUGCUGGACGGAACGAGUGGCGAACGGGUGAGUAAUACGUAAGCAACCUGCCCUGCAAGGACUGGGAUAACACCUGGAAACGGGCGCUAAUACCGGAUAGGUAACAAAGGGGCAUCCCUAUGUUAUUAAAGGUUAGAAACACAAGCAGAUGGGCUUACGGUGCAUUAGCUAGUUGGUGAGGUAACGGCCCACCAAGGCGAUGAUGCAUAGCCGGCCUGAGAGGGUGAACGGCCACAUUGGGACUGAGACACGGCCCAGACUCCUACGGGAGGCAGCAGUAGGGAAUUUUCGGCAAUGGACGAAAGUCUGACCGAGCAACGCCGCGUGAGUGAAGAAGGUUUUCGGAUUGUAAAGCUCUGUUGUAAGGGAGGAACAGCACGGAAAGAAUCCGUGAAUGACGGUACCUUACCAGAAAGCCACGGCUAACUACGUGCCAGCAGCAGC
RNAcentral lists this ribosomal RNA (521 nucleotides) under uncultured bacterium. RNAcentral describes it as "bacterial SSU rRNA". It matches the Rfam family "Bacterial small subunit ribosomal RNA", at positions 8 to 518 of the family's 1533-position model. The record is from RNAcentral.